CCUAGAGAUGGAUUGGUGCCUCGGGAACUCUGACACAGGUGCUGCAUGGCUGUCGUCAGCUCGUGUCGUGAGAUGUUGGGUUAAGUCCGUAACGAGCGCAACCCUUGUCCUUAGUUACCAGCACGUUAUGGUGGGCACUCUAAGGAGACUGCCGGUGACAAACCGGAGGAAGGUGGGGGAUGACGUCAAGUCAUCAUGGCCCUUACGGCCUGGGCUACACACGUGCUACAAUGGUCGGUACAAAGGGUUGCCAAGCCGCGAGGUGGAGCUAAUCCCAUAAAACCGAUCGUAGUCCGGAUCGCAGUCUGCAACUCGACUGCGUGAAGUCGGAAUCGCUAGUAAUCGUGAAUCAGAAUGUCACGGUGAAUACGUUCCCGGGCCUU
RNAcentral lists this ribosomal RNA (383 nucleotides) under uncultured Pseudomonas sp. Its description in RNAcentral is "bacterial SSU rRNA". It matches the Rfam family "Bacterial small subunit ribosomal RNA", at positions 999 to 1382 of the family's 1533-position model. Lineage: Bacteria; Pseudomonadati; Pseudomonadota; Gammaproteobacteria; Pseudomonadales; Pseudomonadaceae. The record is from RNAcentral.